This 257-nucleotide ribosomal RNA is filed under the name uncultured prokaryote. RNAcentral describes it as "partial 16S ribosomal RNA". It matches the Rfam family "Bacterial small subunit ribosomal RNA", at positions 524 to 780 of the family's 1533-position model. The record is from RNAcentral.
CACGGGGGUUGCGAGCGUUGUCCGGAAUUAUUGGGUUUAAAGGGUGCGCAGGUUGUUUGAUAAGUCAGUGGUGAAAGUCUGUCGCUUAACGGUAGGAUUGCCAUUGAUACUGUUGGACUUGAAUAUGGAUGAGGUAGGCGGAAUGUGUAGUGUAGCGGUGAAAUGCAUAGAUAUUACACAGAACACCGAUUGCGAAGGCAGCUUACUAAUCCAUCAUUGACGCUGAGGCACGAAAGCGUGGGGAUCAAACAGGAUUA